RNAcentral lists this ribosomal RNA (388 nucleotides) under uncultured bacterium. RNAcentral's name for it is "bacterial SSU rRNA". It matches the Rfam family "Bacterial small subunit ribosomal RNA", at positions 30 to 420 of the family's 1533-position model. The record is from RNAcentral.
AUUGAACGCUGGCGGCAUGCCUUACACAUGCAAGUCGAACGGUAACGGGCCUUCGGGUGCCGACGAGUGGCGAACGGGUGAGUAAUGCAUCGGAACGUACCUUUCAGUGGGGGAUAACGUAGCGAAAGUUACGCUAAUACCGCAUAUUCUGUGAGCAGGAAAGCAGGGGAUCGCAAGACCUUGCGCUGAUUGAGCGGCCGAUGUCAGAUUAGCUAGUUGGUGAGGUAAAGGCUCACCAAGGCGACGAUCUGUAGCGGGUCUGAGAGGAUGAUCCGCCACACUGGAACUGAGACACGGUCCAGACUCCUACGGGAGGCAGCAGUGGGGAAUUUUGGACAAUGGGGGCAACCCUGAUCCAGCCGUGCCGCGUGAGUGAAGAAGGCCUCGG